This 253-nucleotide ribosomal RNA is filed under the name uncultured bacterium. RNAcentral describes it as "partial 16S ribosomal RNA". It matches the Rfam family "Bacterial small subunit ribosomal RNA", at positions 524 to 776 of the family's 1533-position model. The record is from RNAcentral.
UACAGAGGAGCCAAGCGUUGUCCGGAUUGACUGGGCGUAAAGCGCACGCAGGCGGUUGCGCGCGUGGGGUGGGAAAUCUGGCCGCUUAACGGCCAGGCGCCAUCCCAUACGGCGCGACUGGAGGGCUGCAGAGGUCGAUGGAAUUGCCGGUGUAGUGGUGAAAUGCGUAGAGAUCGGCAGGAACACCCAGGGGGAAACCAGUCGACUGGGCAGCACCUGACGCUGAGGUGCGAGAGCGUGGGGAGCGAACCGG